UACGUAGGGGGCGAGCGUUGUCCGAAGUUACUGGGCGUAAAGCGCGCGUAGGCGGCUUCUUAAGUCUGAGGUGAAAGGUUCAACGCUUAACGUGAACAGUGCCUUGGAUACUGGGGAGCUUGAGUAUGGGAGAGGGCAGUGGAAUGGCUGGUGUAGCGGUGAAAUGCGUAGAUAUCAGUCGGAACACCCAUGGCGAAGGCAGCUGCCUGGCCUAAUACUGACGCUGAGGUGCGAAAGCGUGGGGAGCGAACGGG
Molecule: ribosomal RNA, 254 nt
Filed under: uncultured bacterium
Lineage: Bacteria
Description: partial 16S ribosomal RNA
Rfam family: Bacterial small subunit ribosomal RNA
Source: RNAcentral